Molecule: ribosomal RNA, 252 nt
Filed under: uncultured bacterium
Lineage: Bacteria
Description: partial 16S ribosomal RNA
Rfam family: Bacterial small subunit ribosomal RNA
Source: RNAcentral
UACGGAGGGUGCGAGCGUUGUCCGGAAUCAUUGGGCGUAAAGGGCGCGUAGGCGGCCGGCUCAGUCGGGCCUGUAAGUGCGGGGCUCAACCCCGUGAUGGGCCCGGGACGGGCGGGCUGGGGCGCGGUCGAGGGAGACGGAAUGCCGGGUGUAGCGGUGAAAUGCGUAGAUAUCAAGAGGAACACCUGCGGCGAAGGCGGGUUGCUGGGCCGACACUGACGCUGAUGCGCGAAAGCUAGGGGAGCGAACGGG